This 425-nucleotide ribosomal RNA is filed under the name uncultured bacterium. Its description in RNAcentral is "bacterial SSU rRNA". It matches the Rfam family "Bacterial small subunit ribosomal RNA", at positions 354 to 796 of the family's 1533-position model. The record is from RNAcentral.
GUGGGGAAUAUUGGACAAUGGGCGCAAGCCUGAUCCAGCAAUGCCGCGUGAGUGAAGAAGGCCCUAGGGUUGUAAAACUCUUUCAGUAGUGAAGAUGAUGACGGUAACUACAAAAGAAGCACCGGCUAACUUCGUGCCAGCAGCCGCGGUAAUACGAAGGGUGCUAGCGUUGUUCGGAAUUACUGGGCGUAAAGAGCAUGUAGGCGGAUUGAUUAGUCAGAGGUGAAAGCCCCGAGCUCAACUUGGGAAUUGCCUUUGAUACUGUCAAUCUAGAGACCGAGAGAGGUGAGUGGAAUUCCCAGUGUAGAGGUGAAAUUCGUAGAUAUUGGGAAGAACACCAGUGGCGAAGGCGGCUCACUGGCUCGGUACUGACGCUGAGAUGCGAAAGCGUGGGGAGCGAACAGGAUUAGAAACCCGGGUAGUCC